This 497-nucleotide ribosomal RNA is filed under the name uncultured bacterium. Its description in RNAcentral is "partial 16S ribosomal RNA". It matches the Rfam family "Bacterial small subunit ribosomal RNA", at positions 28 to 507 of the family's 1533-position model. The record is from RNAcentral.
GAUGAACGCUGGCGGCGUGCCUAAUACAUGCAAGUCGAGCGAACAGACGAGGAGCUUGCUCCUCUGACGUUAGCGGCGGACGGGUGAGUAACACGUGGAUAACCUACCUAUAAGACUGGGAUAACUUCGGGAAACCGGAGCUAAUACCGGAUAAUAUAUUGAACCGCAUGGUUCAAUAGUGAAAGACGGUUUUGCUGUCACUUAUAGAUGGAUCCGCGCCGCAUUAGCUAGUUGGUAAGGUAACGGCUUACCAAGGCAACGAUGCGUAGCCGACCUGAGAGGGUGACCGACCACACUGGAACUGAGACACGGUCCAGACUCCUACGGGAGGCAGCAGUAGGGAAUCUUCCGCAAUGGGCGAAAGCCUGACGGAGCAACGCCGCGUGAGUGAUGAUGGUCUUCGGAUCGUAAAACUCUGUUAUUAGGGAAGAACAAAUGUGUAAGUAACUAUGCACGUCUUGACGGUACCUAAUCAGAAAGCCACGGCUAACUACGUG